This 52-nucleotide transfer RNA is filed under the name Pyemotes zhonghuajia. RNAcentral's name for it is "tRNA-His". Lineage: Eukaryota; Metazoa; Arthropoda; Arachnida; Trombidiformes; Pyemotidae. The record is from RNAcentral.
GCUUUUAGAGUUUUAUAAUGUUGAAUUGUGAUUUCAAAGAUUUUUAAAAGCA